CUACUGGAAUGUACUUUCCUUUAAAAGCAAUGCCUAAGGAUGAGUUGGCGGCAGAUUAGGUUGUUGGUGGGGUAAAGGCCCACCAAGCCAGAGAUCUGUAGGGGCCUUGAAAGAGGUAUCCCCGAGAAGGGCACUGAGACACUGGCCCUAGCCCCACGGGGUGCAGCAGGCGCGAAACCUUUACAAUGCACGAAAGUGUGAUAAGGUAACCCUAAGUGCUUACCUUUUGGUAGGCUUUUUGCCAAAAUUAAACCCUUUGGCGAAUAAGUGGUGGGCAAGACGGGUGCCAGCCGCCGCGGUAACACCCGCGCCACGAGUGGGAAUCAGCAUUAUUGGGCCUAAAGCGUCCGUAGCCGGUUUAACAAGUCUUUUGUGAAAUCGUUGGGUAGAAUUCAACGACGUGCAAAAGAAACUGUUAAACUUGGAACCGGGAGGAGUCAGAGGUAUUUCGGGGGUAGCGGUAAAAUGUUAUAAUCCUCGAAGGACCACCUGUGGCGAAGGCGUCUGACUAGAACGGAUUCGACGGUGAGGGACGAAAGCCGGGGGAGCAAUCCGGAUUAGAUACCCGAGUAGUCCUGGCUGUAAACUCUGCGAGCUAGGUGUUGCACAUUCUUCGUGAAUGUGCAGUAUCGAAGUGAAGAUGAUAAGCUCGCCGCCUGGGAAGUAUGGUCGCAAGACUGAAACUUAAAGGAAUUGGCGGGGGAGCACUACAAGGGGUGCGGCGUGCGGUUUAAUCUAACUCAACACAGAGAAUCUCACCAGAAGCGACGGCAGGAUGAAAGUCAGAUUGAAGGUUUUACUUGACGAGCCGAGAGGUAGCGCAUGGCCGUCGUCAGCUCGUGCCGUAAGGUGUCCUGUUAAGUCAGGUAACGAGCGAGACCUGCACUCACAAUUGCUAACAACUAGUCUCUAGGAUUGAGCACAUUGUGAGGACUGCCUUCGUAAGGAGGAGGAAGGUGCAGGCAACGGUAGGUCUGUAUGCUCCGAAUCUUCUGGGCUACACGCGCGCAACAAUGGUGAUGACAAUGGGAUGCGACUCCGAAAGGAAAAGCUAAUCCUCGAAACAUCAUCUCAGUCCAGAUUGAGGAUUGUAACUCAUCCUCAUGACGUUGGAAUCCCUAGUAAUCGGAAUUCAACAUAUUCCGGUGAAUAUGUCCCUGCUCCUUGCACACACCGCCCGUCAAACCACCCGAGUAGGGUCUAGAUGAGGCCUUAUUUUUAAUAAGUUCGAAUCUAGGCUUUGCGAGGAGGGUUAAGUCGUCACAAGGUA
This 1270-nucleotide ribosomal RNA is filed under the name metagenome. RNAcentral describes it as "bacterial SSU rRNA". It matches the Rfam family "Archaeal small subunit ribosomal RNA", at positions 167 to 1445 of the family's 1478-position model. The record is from RNAcentral.